AAUGGAUCUUCUCCAAACUGGGAGGCUGAGUCUUCCAACGCUCGUCCUGGUGCUGGGUGGACAGAGCCUGGUGCAGCCGGGCCUCCAGCCGGAAGCCUGUGAGGUCAUUCUGACUCUGUUUACCUGAGGGAGCAGGAGGGAGGAGGCGUUGGCACUUCCUCCCGGCCCUGGACCACAUUUACUCAGCCAAGCCAGGCCCGGGGCAUGCUUGCUGGGUAUGCUCAUGUCACACGCCUGGGACACCUGGGACGGGCUGACAGCUCUGCUGGGCUCCGAGAUGGGAAAGUCUUCGAGGGGGAGGCAGGGGCAAGGUGACUGUUUCUGCUGGGAAGUGCUGGCCCCAGGAGCGUGGUCUGAGGGUCCUGGGAGGCCCCCUUCCCGGCUGGCCUGGCAGGCGCUGCCCCCUCCUGUCUAUCCUAAGUCCUGCUGGGAGCCAAGGAUACAAGCCGAGAUCCAGCAGACUGAGGUCAGAACGCACACAGGAGGCCGGGCUGGGGUCUCCUGUAUGGCUCCCCUGUUAGCUUGCCCCCCAUAUCAAAGCAGAGGAGGCAGGUUGGAGAGAGGGUGAUAGAGGGAGCUCCCAGCCUCGGGGGCCACCUUCCUCCUUCCCUCUCCUGCCUGGGCCCCCACGUUCAUCCUGUGCUGGUGAGCCCUCCUGGCGGUGGAGCAGAGAGCACGGAAAGAGCAGCUUGUUGACGCUAGUGGCCAGAUUCUCAUCUACUCCCAUCUUCAGCAGAUUCCAUAUCUGAGGCCUCAGUUCCCUUCGUUUUGAGAUGGGAAGAUUCCAACUAGAAGAGGACGCCAGAGAGGAAGGAGAGUUCAGUGGGACUGAGGCUGGGCUCCCGGGAGCCAAGGCCACGGCAGGCACUGGGCGGCAGUAAUGGCUGGGGCAGGUCAGGGUGUGAUGGGGGACACUGAGUUGGGAAGACGAGGAGGUUUCAGGGACUGCUCUGUCCCUUCAUCAGCUCUGCCUUCUGAGAGUCAUUUAACACUGGACACCUCAAGCCUCGUGAUAACAGCCACCAGUGCACCAGAUUUUAGAGCCUUCGGUCAGCCAUUCACAGCAAUCCCCUAGGAAGGGACUCCUCAGCACUUUGUGGACGGAGAGGCGGGGCUUGGCGAGGCGUCAAGGCAGCUGGGCUGCCAGUCUCCGAGUCACACUGGAGCCUCUGCCCCAACUCCUGUCCACGCCACCACAGAGCUCAGUGCUUUCAGGGGAGCCCGCUCCGCCAUCUGCUCCACACCCUCGGAACGCUCUGACCUCACUCAGAACAAAACGUGCGCCCCUCCCAGCCCCUCCACCCACCUCCUCUUCCCGCACUGCCCUCCUUCACUGGCUCAGGGGCCUUUCCCAUCACUGUCCCUGGGACUUUUGUCUGUUCUGUGCACUUCUGAAUGUCUUGCCCUUCAGACAGUGUCCACUGUAGACGCUCAAGUAAGCAUUGUGGAUGGAAGGAAGGCAAGCAGGGAGAGAGGAGGGAAGGAAGGGAGGGAGGAAGGGAGCCCAGGCCCCUUAUUUCCACUACCACCCCCCUCCACACCAUGCAGCCAGCCUUGACCCCGCCCCCUUUUGCAGCACCGUUGCUGAUGUAUUUCUGAUUCUCACAUGCACUUGGUCACUCACAUGCAUAUCAGCCUGAAAGACUGAGAGCCCCAAAGUUAUCUGUUUCUCUCAUAAACUGACAAAUGGAUUUUAGAUUCUGUUAAGUUCCGCAGGACUUUGUUCCACUUGUAAUAAAAAAGAAAGGAAGAAAGGAAAAG
Long non-coding RNA from Equus caballus (horse), 1761 nucleotides. NCBI's taxonomy places the organism in Eukaryota, Metazoa, Chordata, Mammalia, Perissodactyla, Equidae. The record is from Ensembl.